AUUACCUGCAUUCAGAGAUUCAUACCGGCACAGGUCGGUAUGCGAAGUCCCUUUUGGG
RNAcentral lists this ribosomal RNA (58 nucleotides) under Xanthomonas campestris pv. zinniae. RNAcentral describes it as "partial 16S ribosomal RNA". Lineage: Bacteria; Pseudomonadati; Pseudomonadota; Gammaproteobacteria; Lysobacterales; Lysobacteraceae. The record is from RNAcentral.